GAUGAACGCUGGCGGCGUGCCUAAUACAUGCAAGUCGAGCGAACAGACGAGGAGCUUGCUCCUCUGACGUUAGCGGCGGACGGGUGAGUAACACGUGGAUAACCUACCUAUAAGACUGGGAUAACUUCGGGAAACCGGAGCUAAUACCGGAUAAUAUAUUGAACCGCAUGGUUCAAUAGUGAAAGACGGUUUUGCUGUCACUUAUAGAUGGAUCCGCGCCGCAUUAGCUAGUUGGUAAGGUAACGGCUUAUCACGGCAACGAUGCGUAGCCGACCUGAGAGGGUGAUCGGCCACACUGGAACUGAGACGCGGUCCAGACUCAUACGGGAAGCAGCAGUAGGGAAUCUUCCGCAAUGGGCGAAAACCUGACGGAGCAACGCCGAGGGAGUGGUGAAGGUCUUCGGAUCGUAAAACUCUGUUAUUGGGGAAGAACAAAUGUGUAAGUAUCUAUACACGUCUUGACGGUACCUAGUCAAAAAGCCACGGCUAACUACGUG
Molecule: ribosomal RNA, 497 nt
Filed under: uncultured bacterium
Lineage: Bacteria
Description: partial 16S ribosomal RNA
Rfam family: Bacterial small subunit ribosomal RNA
Source: RNAcentral